Long non-coding RNA from Scylla paramamosain (green mud crab), 602 nucleotides. RefSeq lists it as uncharacterized. The record is from RefSeq and is a predicted model, not a curated record. The transcript is spliced from 3 exons. Lineage: Eukaryota; Metazoa; Arthropoda; Malacostraca; Decapoda; Portunidae.
UGGGUCGUGAGUUAGGGAGGAAGGUGGCGUCUCUCAGGAAAGGAUCUUGGUGUGGAUUGGUGAUGGAAUUGCACGGUACACUUCCUUCUCUGCCAUGAAGUCUCGAGGGGAGCCCGUCGAAGAUAAAAUAUAAAAAAAAACUCACGAAGAGGAGGUCAUGUUCUACAGGAAUGGAAUGGUAGGAGACUGGAAAAAACAUUUUUCACCUGAGCUGCAAGAAAUGGUGGACCAGUGGAUUCAAAAGAACCUAAAUGAUAGUGAUUUGAGUCCAGUUUGGUGCUUAGGUUCAGCAAUGUCACUCCUAAGUUGAAAUGAAAGCCACCUCAUGAGAGUUACAAUUUAUACCUAAGUCGAUUGUCUUUUGUUUGUCAUAUCGGGGUCCAGAUAUUUCUUCGGUAAAACUAUAAAUCUUUCAUACUGUUAAAGUUGUUUUCUUUCUAGGUGUUCAUAUACUAGAGGAUCAUUUUUAUUGCCUUAGUGUGUUCUCUAAGACAUUCGCUUCAUUUUAUAAGCCAUUCACGUCUUACUAGGCUUUCCUCGCACCGUUGAUAGUAAUUUUGCCCAUGGUUUCCAUGUGUUGUUUGGGUUGGGUUUUUUGAAGA